RNAcentral lists this ribosomal RNA (160 nucleotides) under uncultured bacterium. Its description in RNAcentral is "partial 16S ribosomal RNA". It matches the Rfam family "Bacterial small subunit ribosomal RNA", at positions 332 to 481 of the family's 1533-position model. The record is from RNAcentral.
GCCCUUCCUACGGGAGGCAGCAGUGGGGAAUAUUGCGCAAUGGGGGCAAGCCUGAUCGCAGCACAUGCCGCGUGAUGUGAAGAAGGCCUUCGGGUUGUAAAGCUGCUUUCANUNGGGAAGAAAAGUACNCCGUUAAUAGCGGUGNUUNCUNCCGUUCCNG